GAAAUGCGAUAAGUAGUGUGAAUUGCAGAAUUCAGUGAAUCAUCGAAUCUUUGAACGCACAUUGCGCCCCUUGGUAUUCCAUGGGGCAUGCCUGUUCGAGCGUCAUUUGUACCCUCAAGCUUUGCUUGGUGUUGGGUGUUUGUCCCCGUCUCCGCGCGUGGACUCGCCCCAAAGUGAUUGGCAGCCGGCGUACUGGUCCCGGAGCGCAGCACAUGUCGCGCAAACGAGUGCCUUGGUACGGCGGCGUCCAUAAGCCCCUCUCUCACGCUCUUGACCUCGGAUCAGGUAGGGAUACCCGCUGAACUUAAGC
This 310-nucleotide unclassified non-coding RNA is filed under the name plant metagenome. Its description in RNAcentral is "partial contains 5.8S ribosomal RNA, internal transcribed spacer 2, and large subunit ribosomal RNA". The stretch from base 1 to 105 matches the Rfam family "5.8S ribosomal RNA", at positions 50 to 154 of the family's 154-position model. The record is from RNAcentral.